This 468-nucleotide ribosomal RNA is filed under the name uncultured bacterium. Its description in RNAcentral is "partial 16S ribosomal RNA". It matches the Rfam family "Bacterial small subunit ribosomal RNA", at positions 28 to 507 of the family's 1533-position model. The record is from RNAcentral.
GACGAACGCUGGCGGCGUGCUUAACACAUGCAAGUCGAACGGAAAGGCCCUGCUUUUGUGGGGUGCUCGAGUGGCGAACGGGUGAGUAACACGUGAGUAACCUGCCCUUGACUUUGGGAUAACUUCAGGAAACUGGGGCUAAUACCGGAUAGGAGCUCCUGCUGCAUGGUGGGGGUUGGAAAGUUUCGGCGGUUGGGGCUGGACUCGCGGCUUAUCAGCUUGUUGGUGGGGUAGUGGCUUACCAAGGCUUUGACGGGUAGCCGGCCUGAGAGGGUGACCGGCCACAUUGGGACUGAGAUACGGCCCAGACUCCUGCGGGAGGCAGCAGUGGGGAAGAUUGCACAAUGGGCGGAAGCCUGAUGCAGCAACGCCGCGUGCGGGAUGACGGCCUUCGGGUUGUAAACCGCUUUCGCCUGUGACGAAGCGUGAGUGACGGUAAUGGGUAAAGAAGCACCGGCUAACUACGUG